ACUAUGGCGCCAAUUUCUAAGAAUUUCUUAUGCAUGACUAUAUAGUGCCUUGCAAUUCCAAGAAAAAGCUCUUAUGAAUAUCAUAUAAGUAGACUAUUGCGAGUUCCGGGAAUAAUGUUGACAACUGAAUCAACAAUUCUUAGAGCUGUGUAUAUAGUCUACUGUAUGUAUCUAGUUAACUUCCCUAAUGGGAAGUAAAGUAUUAUGGCAGGUGAGAAUAGCCAUCUUAAAGAAGCUGAGAAGUAUAUGAAAGAUCUUUUUCAAAAAGCUAAUGAAAAAGAGAAUCUGUGUAAAAGUCAUGAAACACACCUCUCGGAACAAAAGAAGCAGAUUAAGCACUUCACUCAAAAACUAAACUGAAGAACUUGAAGAGUAGAUCUAUAUAUAGAGCCAUGUUAAAUCAUAUUAAAUUUAUUUUUUAGAAAAUAUGACCAACUACAGCCAGAAACUGCAGAACUAGACACGUAAAAAAAACUGAAGCUAUGUAUUUCAUGCACUUAAUAUUACACAGAAAAGAGAGUUCAUCUCGUGAUGCUCGUAAAAUGUAUGGUGAUGUUACUCCUGGAGACACUACACAUCAAGAUGUCAUACUACUGUAUCAAAAUUAUUUUAAGAAUGCAUUUCGUAAUUUACCUAAAGAUCUAAAGACAGAAUCAAAAGAAGAAAAAUACGAACUCUGGAGAAAGGCAGUAGAUAUUUUUAUGGCAAGCUUUGAACAAAAUCAAAUUACUAUCAUUGAGAUGAUGACAUCAGCAAUAGAAGAAAACUCAUUAUUAUAUCCUCCUCUAGCUGCUUGCAAGGAAACAGAUGAAAAAAAGAGGACUUAGAGCAAAUUAUUAUAGAGCAUUCCAUGUCUUUCUUAAAGAAUUGCUGGAAUGAGAAAAAAAUGAAGAACAAGAUAAAAGAAAGGAUUUAGGUAUGAGGAGAGGUAUAAGGUAGCAUGUAUUAGUGUAAUACUUGUAAAUUUAUUUUUAACCAUAACACUUUUGUAUGCAGUUACUGGGAGAAUGUCAUUCUAAAGGAUGGGAUGAAAGAACUGCAAAUCAUUACAUUGAUUUUCUCAUAGAUAUACUUGUACAGCUUGACCCAGAAGAUUAUCAUAGCUUCAUUCAGAAAGGGAAAAAGCAUACCAAACCAGAAUCUGAAGUAUCUAUUGACAGAAGCAAUUCGGUUGAUGCUAGCACUGAGAACUAGAACUGAAGAAAGAAAGAUUAAGAGUAGAUGUGCUGCUUGUGAAAGGUUUCACAAAUAAUCCAGGUGAUACUCCUACUCUUCAAAUGGACUUGUAUUGGCACCAUCGUCACUCCUGCUGUGCUAGAUGUAACAAGACAAUUGAUGAAAAUUAUCGAUAUUUAAUGAACUAUGAUAUGGUUUACUGCAGUAGGCUCUAUAGUUGCUUGUGCAGUAGGUGUCAACAUCCUUUAGAUGAUAAAGCUCUUGAUACUGGACAUGGUUUAUAUCAUGGGCUUUGUUUCACCUGUGUUCACUGUUGCCGUGUUACAGAAAGUAUGGUAGUUGUUGGAGAUUCUCUUGUGUGUGGAAACUGCAUACAACACUACAAUUAAUAUAAAUAAACUGAACACUGAACAAUAAUUAGACUAUUAGACUAGAAGUGUUUUAUUUUACUAAAAAUUGAUUUCUGGCUAAACCUAAAA
Amphimedon queenslandica is the source of this 1655-nucleotide long non-coding RNA. RefSeq lists it as uncharacterized. The record is from RefSeq and is a predicted model, not a curated record. NCBI's taxonomy places the organism in Eukaryota, Metazoa, Porifera, Demospongiae, Haplosclerida, Niphatidae. The transcript is spliced from 8 exons.